RNAcentral lists this ribosomal RNA (498 nucleotides) under uncultured bacterium. RNAcentral's name for it is "partial 16S ribosomal RNA". It matches the Rfam family "Bacterial small subunit ribosomal RNA", at positions 30 to 523 of the family's 1533-position model. The record is from RNAcentral.
AUUGAUCGCUGGCGGCAUGCUUUACACAUGCAAGUCGAACGGUAACAGGCCGCAAGGUGCUGACGAGUGGCGAACGGGUGAGUAAUGCAUCGGAGCGUGCCCAGUCGUGGGGGAUAACGGAGCGAAAGCUGUGCUAAUACCGCAUACGAUCUAUGGAUGAAAGCGGGGGACCGUAAGGCCUCGCGCGAUUGGAGCGGCCGAUGUCAGAUUAGGUAGUUGGUGGGGUAAAGGCUCACCAAGCCAACGAUCUGUAGCUGGUCUGAGAGGACGACCAGCCACGCUGGGACUGAGACACGGCCCAGACUCCUACGGGAGGCAGCAGUGGGGAAUUUUGGACAAUGGGAGCAAGCCUGAUCCAGCAAUGCCGCGUGCAGGAAGAAGGCCUUCGGGUUGUAAACUGCUUUUGUACGGAACGAAAAGGUUUGGGUUAAUACCCUGGGCCGAUGACGGUACCGUAAGAAUAAGCACCGGCUAACUACUUGCCAGCAGCCGCAGUAA